Molecule: ribosomal RNA, 339 nt
Filed under: Triticum aestivum (bread wheat)
Lineage: Eukaryota; Viridiplantae; Streptophyta; Magnoliopsida; Poales; Poaceae
Description: partial small subunit ribosomal RNA
Source: RNAcentral
AUGCUACACAAUACCAACAACUGGGAUGGCACCCAUGUCCUGGAGUAUAGGCCAAAAGACAUAGCCAACAUGAGGAUGAUACUAAUGGCAAAAAUGGUGAAGAGUGAGCACAGCGAUGUCAACUGGGCAAAGAUGCUCAACAUCAAGAAGGUAAAAAAAUGUCUGCAACGCACACAAGAACUUAGUUAUCAGUUUUUAACUUUUUAUGGCAUAACACCAACCACUUCUGUUUCAGUAGCACAGAACAUAAAUUACAUGGUCUUUUUCAACAUACCACAGAUACAACUUCAUGUACAGAGUACUUAUUUAGUAGUCCCUCACAUCGAUCGUCAGCCAUAA